GGCUUUAUAAAACUACCAUGAUGCCCCCCUCAGACUCACCUGACAAUUUUUAACUCAUCUGGCAGAUGCUCUUUGAGUUUAACCAGAUUAGGGCAGAAACAUUUGGGUAGACUGGGAAGGGACUUCAGGUAACUCUAAGGACUGAAAAUGAAUCUUGCUCUAACACUAUUUUCCAUAAUGUAGAGUUUGGUAUAAGGCAGGGUUAUCUUGAAUUCCAUCCCACAUGAUUUGGCUACUGAUUUGCACAAUUCUUCUAAGAACUAGGUUACAGUUAGGGGCCGGUGACUUGGACUUGGAUUUUGUUUACUACCAGAGACUGUACAAGUGUGUCAGGAAAUAAAAAUCUCUUCUGUUAGUUGUAGUUGUCUGAUCACGUAACACUGGGCUAUUUAUGGGACAAGUCAGUUAGCCAACAAUGAGGUGUAGGGGAGUGCCAGUUAUCUAUUUUAGACUAGUGCAAUGCUAUAGAACACUUGAGAAGUGUAUUAUUUAGGGCUUUUAGGCAUUAAGGCUGGGAUCACUGUAGACCCAAUUUGACCCAAGACAUCAAAUUUCAGUGGUUGUGAGUUCACCAAAACACUUAGAUAAAAGAGCUCUCUCCAGAAGCAAUUCCACUUUAUAAUCAAACACUGGAAGUCACUUAACUGCACAAUGUAUUUUUUAAUCAAAUAAAUCAUAUCGCAAGAUUUUGGAAAACCAGAACAGAUACCAAAUCAUGAUUUUUGGAUGAAGGAUAAGGAAUGGAUGGCCAGGCAUGGUGGCUCACGCUUGUAAUCCCAGCACUUCAGGAGGCUGAGGUGGGUGGAUCACCUGAGGUCAGGAGUUCGGGACAAGCCUGGCCAACAUGGCGAAACCCCGUCUCUACUAAAAUUACAAAACAAUUAGCCAGGUGUGGUGCCAUGCGUCUAUAAUUCCAGCUACUUGGGAGGCUGAGGCAGGAGAAUCGCUUGAAUCUGGGUGGCAGAGGUGGCAGUGAGCCGAGAUUACAUCACUGCACUCCAGCCUGGCAAGAGAGCCAGAUUUUGUCUCAAGAAAAAAAAUUAUAUAAGGGAUGGAUGAAUGAAGGUGCUUAGGCACUUAAGUAUAUGGAAGAGUGAUAAAAGAAUGAAGAGAAGAAUCUAGGUGUUAGUAUUCCUAAGUAGUAAAGAGUAAGAAGUAGGCCCUCACCAUAGCUCUCAAUGAAUAUGUGAGUGAUACCAACAGAUACAAAAAUUCUCUUGCAUCUGCAUUCAUUAGGUGAAUUGACUUCAGAGACAAAAGAAGGAAAGCUAUGAAAACUUUUAUCUCCCCAGAGACUCCUUCCCAGCCCACUCAAAUAAAACGGCAUUCUGGUCACUCUCUAUCCUCUUAAUCUGCUUUAUUUUUCUUAUCAUUUAUCAAUUCCUGAUAUUGAUCAUAUAUUUGCUUACUGACUUCCCACCAGGGUGAAAUCACCAUGAACACAAUGACUUUGUUUUGUUCACCGUGCUUUCUCCUGGGUCUAGAACGGUACCUGGCACAUAAGCAUCAUAAUUUUUUUGUUGCAUAAAUAAAUGUAUACACACAAUUUGACCGAUUCUAUUGGCUCUUUUCAAAGUUAUAAUUGAACAAUAUAUCAGUAUGAAACACCAAGGCAUGAAAAUGGAACAGAUUUCCAUU
Molecule: long non-coding RNA, 1638 nt
Filed under: Homo sapiens (human)
Lineage: Eukaryota; Metazoa; Chordata; Mammalia; Primates; Hominidae
Description: HSALNT0240741
Source: RNAcentral